Lysobacter capsici AZ78 is the source of this 121-nucleotide non-coding RNA. NCBI's taxonomy places the organism in Bacteria, Pseudomonadati, Pseudomonadota, Gammaproteobacteria, Lysobacterales, Lysobacteraceae. The record is from Rfam.
CAUCCAUCGAGACCGGCAGAGGGACAGGCCCUUUGAAGCCGGGGCAACCCAAGGCGGCGCAAGCCGCGUGAAGGUGCCAAUUCCUGCGGCCCGCCUCAUGGCGUCGGUCGGAAGAUGGUUG